UACGUAGGGUGCGAGCGUUAAUCGGAAUUACUGGGCGUAAAGCGUGCGCAGGCGGCGCGUUAAGACAGGUGUGAAAGCCCCGAGCUUAACUUGGGAAUUGCGCUUGUGACUGGCGAGCUGGAGUGUGGCAGAGGGAGGUGGAAUUCCACGUGUAGCAGUGAAAUGCGUAGAUACUGGGAGGAACACCGGUGGCGAAGGCGGCUACCUGGACCGGAACUGACGCUGAGGCGCGAAAGCGUGGGUAGCAAACAGG
RNAcentral lists this ribosomal RNA (253 nucleotides) under uncultured bacterium. Its description in RNAcentral is "partial 16S ribosomal RNA". It matches the Rfam family "Bacterial small subunit ribosomal RNA", at positions 524 to 776 of the family's 1533-position model. The record is from RNAcentral.